Molecule: ribosomal RNA, 924 nt
Filed under: uncultured bacterium
Lineage: Bacteria
Description: bacterial SSU rRNA
Rfam family: Bacterial small subunit ribosomal RNA
Source: RNAcentral
AGAGUUUGAUCCUGGCUCAGAUUGAACGCUGGCGGAACGCUUUACACAUGCAAGUCGAACGGUAACGCGGAGAGAAGCUUGCUUCUCUCCGGCGACGAGUGGCGAACGGGUGAGUAAUACAUCGGAACGUGUCCGCUCGUGGGGGACAACCAGCCGAAAGGUUGGCUAAUACCGCAUGAGUUCUACGGAAGAAAGAGGGGGACCCGCAAGGGCCUCUCGCGAGCGGAGCGGCCGAUGACUGAUUAGCCUGUUGGUGAGGUAACGGCUCACCAAAGCAACGAUCAGUAGCUGGUCUGAGAGGACGACCAGCCACACUGGGACUGAGACACGGCCCAGACUCCUACGGGAGGCAGCAGUGGGGAAUUUUGGACAAUGGGCGCAAGCCUGAUCCAGCUAUUCCGCGUGUGGGAUGAAGGCCCUCGGGUUGUAAACCACUUUUGUAGAGAACGAAAAGACACCUUCGAAUAAAGGGUGUUGCUGACGGUACUCUAAGAAUAAGCACCGGCUAACUACGUGCCAGCAGCCGCGGUAAUACGUAGGGUGCGAGCGUUAAUCGGAAUUACUGGGCGUAAAGGGUGCGCAGGCGGUUGAGUAAGACAGAUGUGAAAUCCCCGAGCUUAACUCGGGAAUGGCAUAUGUGACUGCUCGACUAGAGUGUGUCAGAGGGAGGUGGAAUUCCACGUGUAGCAGUGAAAUGCGUAGAUAUGUGGAAGAACACCGAUGGCGAAGGCAGCCUCCUGGGACAUAACUGACGCUCAGGCACGAAAGCGUGGGGAGCAAACAGGAUUAGAUACCCUGGUAGUCCACGCCCUAAACGAUGUUAACUAGUUGUUGGGAAGUAAAAUUCUCAGUAACGCAGCCAACGCGAGAAGUUAACCGCCUGGGAAGUACGGUCGCAAGACUAAAACUCAAAGGAAUUGACGG